CUUGCUUAGCAACAGAGAGGCCUGGGGCAAACAGAGCUGUGGGCAACCACACCCCCGCCGCAGGAAUGCGCCAGCGUUCCUGGGGGCUGCCGUGGCACCCGCUGUGGCCAGAUGGGGGCAGGUAGGCACCUUGGUUCCCUGCCACCUUGGCGCUGGCAGGAAGGAGCCCUCACACCCAGGCCUGGGAGGUUCCCUAGGCCACCGGAGGGAAGGGGUCAGAAGAAGGUGGACAGGGCCAUCUGAAGCACCGAGGAAGCUGGUUUAUGAAAAGAGGCCUUGACCAAGGAUUUAGCCCAGCAGCACAAGCGCCUGCCUGGCAAGCACAAGAUUGUGAGUUCGAUCCUCAGUACCAAAAAAAAAGGAAGGAAGGAAAGAAAGAAAAGAAAAGAAAGAGGCCUUUCCUUGGAGCUGGGCAGGGCCCUGGAUUUGCACCCCGGAUUCUGUCUCUGCUGUGUGAUCUUGGGUACACACCAGAUCUGGUCUUCCGUUUCCUGUUACAAGUUGAGUAUCCUUUGCCAGGAAUACUUGGGCAUUAACUGGUUGAGAGGCUUUAGAGUUUGGGGAUUUUGGAAUAUGCAAAUAUGAGAAUCUCUAACUAAUGUGAAAAUCCAAAAUGCCUCCAAAUUCAAAUUUCUGUUUUUUCUCAGGACCUUGUACUUGCCAGGCAGGCGCUUGUACUGCUGAGCUAUCUCUCUGGCCUCCACAUUUAAAUUCCUUGAACAUUAUGUUGGUGCUCAAAGUUUCAGAUUUUGGAUUUCCAGACAAUCAAGUUGUUUCAACUGUUCUGUGCACAAGAAGGUGACCCGAGCGGCAGACGCUUCCUGUCCAGGGCAAGAGACUGUCCUGAUCGUCCCUUUGGCCCAGGGAUUAAAGGUCUGCAGGCCAGCAUGCCCUGUUCUCAGACACCACCAUCAGUUCCAUAAAUAUUUACCAAGCACCUCAAGUAACCUCCCUGGGGCGGGGCGGGUGCAUCUGCUGACUGAAUUCAUCCGUUCAUUCCCCCCUGCACCCCUUCAGUCGAUACGUGGCUCCCAUGUGCCCCUGGAGGCUGCGAAGAUGACAGAACCAAGACUAUCCUGCUCUAAGUCUGGGCCCCGCCAUGUGCUUCCAGCACUACCCAGACAGAGCUCAACCUUCUCAAGUAUACAGGGACCGCCCUGGAGGGUGCCUUCCAGCCCCGGCCAGGAGGGAGCUAGUGAGACCUUUGUUGUGCACAGGAGAGAAGUGAAGCCCAGAGUUUAUGCAUUUAUUCAUCAAUUUUGGUCGAUGGGGACAGAGUUUCAGGGUAGGAAGAUGAAAAAUGGUUAGCGGUGAUGGCUGUACCACAACAGGAACACACAGGAAGUCACUGAGCUUACUUCAAAGUGAAUAAAAUGAAGCCAGACAUGGUGGUGCACAUGGAAUCUCAGCACUUGGGAGGCUGAGGCAGGAAGGCCAGAAAUUCAAGGGCUGAGGUGCAGGGGAGACCAAGGCCAGCCUUGUAAAGCUGUGUGUGUGUGUGUGUGUGUGUGUGUGUGUGUGUGUGUGUGUAUGUGUGUGUGUAUUUUUUUGGUACCAGGGAUCAAACUCACGACCGCCUGCUUGCAAGGCAGGUACUUACGCCGCUGAGCUAAAUCCCCAGCCCCCAGCUGUGUAUAUUUUUACCACAAUUAAAAGAACCA
This is a long non-coding RNA of Cavia porcellus (domestic guinea pig), 1661 nucleotides long. NCBI's taxonomy places the organism in Eukaryota, Metazoa, Chordata, Mammalia, Rodentia, Caviidae. The record is from Ensembl.